GACGAACGUUGGCGGCGUGCUUAAUACAUGCAAGUCAACUGAAGCAGUGGUAGCAAUAUCGCUGUGGAGGUGGCGCACGGGUGAGUAACACGUAGGUAAUCUGCCUUCAGGUCUGGCAUAACUCCGGGAAACCGGGGCUAAUAGCAGAUGAUGCAGCGGCUCGACAUCGAGACAGUUGUUAAAGCUAUGGCGCCUGAAGAUGAGCCUGCGUCUGAUUAGCUAGUUGGCGGGGUAACGGCCCACCAAGGCAACGAUCAGUAGCUGGUCUGAGAGGAUGAUCAGCCACACUGGAACUGAGACACGGUCCAGACUCCUACGGGAGGCAGCAGUAAGGAAUAUUGCUCAAUGGGAGAAACACUGAAGCAGCAACGCCGCGGGAGGGACGAAGGGCUUUUGCUUGUAAACCUCUGUAGUGAGAGAAAAAAAUCCCAAUCUUUGGGACAUGAUGGUAUCUCAAAAGUAAGCCCCGGCUAACUACGUG
Molecule: ribosomal RNA, 481 nt
Filed under: uncultured bacterium
Lineage: Bacteria
Description: partial 16S ribosomal RNA
Rfam family: Bacterial small subunit ribosomal RNA
Source: RNAcentral